UACGGAGGGUGCAAACGUUGCUCGGAAUUAUUGGGCGUAAAGCGCACGUAGGCGGACUGCCAAGUCGGAUGUGAAAGCCCUCGGCUUAACCGAGGAAGUGCACUCGAAACUGGCAGUCUUGAGUACUGGAGAGGGUCGCGGAAUUCCCGGUGUAGAGGUGAAAUUCGUAGAUAUCGGGAGGAACACCAGUGGCGAAGGCGGCGACCUGGACAGAUACUGACGCUGAGGUGCGAAAGCGUGGGGAGCAAACAGG
This 253-nucleotide ribosomal RNA is filed under the name uncultured bacterium. RNAcentral describes it as "partial 16S ribosomal RNA". It matches the Rfam family "Bacterial small subunit ribosomal RNA", at positions 524 to 776 of the family's 1533-position model. The record is from RNAcentral.